RNAcentral lists this small RNA (387 nucleotides) under Pan troglodytes (chimpanzee). RNAcentral's name for it is "processed transcript". Lineage: Eukaryota; Metazoa; Chordata; Mammalia; Primates; Hominidae. The record is from RNAcentral.
CUGGACCCCCAGCCCAGGCUCCGCCUGUCCUUGUGCCUUCUCAGCCUGCAUGGAGACCUGAGGCUCCCCUAACUGUCGCCAGGAAAUCCUCUCCUGCUCUCCACUCUUCCUGGAGGCUGCUGACCAAGGACCUUCGGGGGGAGAUGACGCCACCCUCGGUGGAAGAGCGCCGGCCCUCACUGCAGGGCAACACGCUGGGCCGUGGGGUCUCCUGGCUCCUCAGUCUGAGUGGCAGCCAGGAGGCAGAUGCCCUGCGGAAUGCCCUGGUGCCCAGCCUGGCCUGUGCUGCCGCCCACGCCGGUGACCUGGAGGCGCUGCAGGCGCUUAUGGAGCUGGGCAGUGACCUGGGCCUGGUGGACUUUAACGGCCAAACCCCACUGCACGCGG